CAGGUGAUCUACCCUUGGUCAGGUUGAAGUUCAGGUAACACUGAAUGGAGGACCGAACCGACUUACGUUGAAAAGUGAGCGGAGGAACUGAGGGUAGCGGAGAAAUUCCAAUCGAACUUGGAGAUAGCUGGUUCUCUCCGAAAUAGCUUUAGGGCUAGCCUCAAGUGAUGAUUAUUGGGGGUAGAGCACUGUUUGGACGAGGGGCCCCUCUCGGGUUACCGAAUUCAGACAAACUCCGAAUGCCAAUUAAUUUAACUUGGGAGUCAGAACAUGGGUGAUAAGGUCCGUGUUCGAAAGGGAAACAGCCCAGACCACCAGCUAAGGUCCCAAAAUAUAUGUUAAGUGGAAAAGGAUGUGGCGUUGCCCAGACAACUAGGAUGUUGGCUUAGAAGCAGCCAUCAUUUAAAGAGUGCGUAAUAGCUCACUAGUCGAGUGACACUGCGCCGAAAAUGUAACGGGGCUAAACAUAUUACCGAAGCUGUGGAUUGUCCUUUGGACAAUGGUAGGAGAGCGUUCUAAGGGCGUCGAAGCAUGAUCGCAAGGACAUGUGGAGCACUUAGAAGUGAGAAUGCCGGUGUGAGUAG
Molecule: ribosomal RNA, 584 nt
Filed under: Staphylococcus epidermidis
Lineage: Bacteria; Bacillati; Bacillota; Bacilli; Caryophanales; Staphylococcaceae
Description: bacterial LSU rRNA
Rfam family: Bacterial large subunit ribosomal RNA
Source: RNAcentral